AGCUUUAGCUCUUUUGUCUCUACAAAGAUCAACUAAAAUAAGUAGCAAGUCCCCCUUUUCAAUGCAUUUAGAAAACCCUUCCGUUCUCAGGCUUUGGCUGCACAUCAUAAGGAGGAUAUUUCAGAGUGUUCACUGGUAUUUUAUGUGGCUUUUCAGAUUUUACUAUUUAUGGCUAACUUCAUAUGUUAACGUUAUUGCAGUAUGCCCUAUUGGCCCAUUUUGUUAUAACAUGAAGUGGGUGUAGCCUUCUGCGCCUGUAACAAUAACAUCCAUCCAUAUCCUCAUGGCUUCCGGUGUAGGAGCGACCAUAUAGUAUAUUCGGUCGUGUGUCUUAACACUGAAAGUAAGUAGUGGGUUGGGACUCUUGUAUGCAUUCUUCAGAUGAUCAUAAUAGACUUCCUCAAUAGCUUGAAAAUAAAUUACACCUUUUAAUUUAGUUUCGUGUUUGUCUGCGUAAUACGUAAAAGUUCUCUUGUUUCUGUCAAAAACAAACCAUCGUUUUUUCCAUGUUUUAAUUUUUCCUCCCAUCUUAAUCAGAAAGCCUCGGCAGGUCUUCUCUGUGAGGGAGACGUGGUAACAGGUCUCUAUGUUGUGACCAGCUGUUUCAAUAUGACUUCGUAGAUCAAAGUCUUCCUUUCUAAUGGGCAAAUAGCGAGUCAAUGGACGAGCCUGUGCUCUUUGUUUCUCUCGUAUCUUCACUUCCUUUUCAAUUAGUUUUUGCCUUUGGCUAGUUUCUUCUUCCAGUCUUUUUUCCAGUUGUUCUCUACGGCGUUUCUCUUCUUCCAGAGCUCGCUUUUUAGCUUCCAUCUCCCGUUCCCUGGACUCAAGCAGCC
Molecule: long non-coding RNA, 833 nt
Filed under: Gallus gallus (chicken)
Lineage: Eukaryota; Metazoa; Chordata; Aves; Galliformes; Phasianidae
Source: RNAcentral